Hyla sarda is the source of this 1226-nucleotide long non-coding RNA. RefSeq lists it as uncharacterized. NCBI's taxonomy places the organism in Eukaryota, Metazoa, Chordata, Amphibia, Anura, Hylidae. The record is from RefSeq and is a predicted model, not a curated record. The transcript is spliced from 3 exons.
CGACUCGUCGCACUCGGUCAGCUCCACAGAGCUGAUGCCCGCUCUCCUCCCUUCCCUCCUGCCUGCUUGUAAAGAACCUUGGAACUCACGAUGAAUAAACCAUGAUUUAAAAGAAAAACCUGCUGUGAUUUAUGGAAUAAAAGUCUCUGAAGUGCUGAAGAUAUAUUCGGCCAUGCAAAGUGGGACUCCAACAUCUCAAGAGAGUAGGAACCUCAGGAGGAACAAGGGUCUAUGCUUUUCUUGUAGGCAAAACAACCAUAUGCUUCAAGCCUGCCCAGGACAUUAUCAUCAGGGUAAUGCCAAGUGUCUGAGUGGUUAUCUUGACUUCAACACCAUAAUCCAGUUUUUGACUGAUCCUCUGAAGGACUUAUUAGAUGGGGUUCAAACUGUUUCUUCAACCAUCCAAGGCGGUGGGCUAUAAAUACCUCAGUUGUUCCCUGCAUGUUGCCUGUCAUAGAGAUUUUAUUCCUAGUACUAGCUCCUUAAUUCCAUUUAUUAUCCUGUUCUCCUAACCUUUGGCUUGUUCUUUGACUACCUCCUUGCUUAGUGUAUCUGUACUGUGAACUAAAACUCUUACCAGUACUGACUUGGCUUGUUUGAUUUUGAUUUUACAUUUAUGUGUGCAUACCCUGUCUGUCUUUUUGCUGUGAUGUUGUAAGUUAACCCUUUUGUGGCCUGACCUUUUUUCCUGACCUUUGAACAUGUUCAUCUUUUUUUUUGUUUUGACAUUGCUACUCCUUGAACUAAUCUAAUGAAGUUCCAGUUCCAUAGGGACCAUUGUCCUGUUGGGGGUCUGUUUCUUAAGAGUUCAAGGUAUUUUCCAUGUUUAACCCUUGCCUUUUUGAGCCUUGUUUAAUUUACCUCUGCUUGCUUGACUAUGCUUCAUCUCUACUCACAGCCAUGCAAUUUGCUUGUUUGAACUAGAAUUGUGUCAACAACCUUUCCCAUGUCAAUUUUGAAGUUCAAAAGUAGGCAAGGUCUAUAAAGAAUGAGCAUGGUCUACAUACUUCCAUCAUAGUUAUUGUCACAACGCUAUGCCUGCUCUGCUUCCGUUUGGAAAGACCUAUAUAUUUUGCAAGCUAUCCCUUACUCUGUGUAUGCCAGUUAUUUGUUAAAGAAAACUUUGUAUGUGAACAUUAUAAUUCAGCAUUGAAUUAUCAAUUACUUGUGAAAAACAAUAAUAUUAUAUAAAUACUGAAACAAAUAUAAAAAAAUAAAUAAAUACA